Mustela lutreola (European mink) is the source of this 4584-nucleotide long non-coding RNA. RefSeq lists it as uncharacterized. The transcript is spliced from 6 exons. Lineage: Eukaryota; Metazoa; Chordata; Mammalia; Carnivora; Mustelidae. The record is from RefSeq and is a predicted model, not a curated record.
ACGUAACAUCUCCUUGCCUGAUUCAUAGGUUACUUUGAAGCUCAAGUGAGGCAAAAAUGCAGGAAGGCACUUUGAAGACUUUGUAAAGCACCAUCAGAGCGUGUUACAGGAAUGGCUGCAGGGCAUUGCUGUCUGCACUACAGUAAUAAAGGAACACUCGGAUAGAUAUCACUGCUUCCAGUGAUAAGCAAUCUCCAGGAAUCUGCAGCGAGAUCGCUGGUUGACUGGAAAUGCUCUCUAUUUCUCCAGAGGGUAUCUGUCCUUGAAGAAGCCACUCAUUGCCUAGAAAAUAAAAAGGCAGUGCCUCUCAGAAAGGACGUCGGUGUCGUACUGAGGAAGGCCAUGUUUACAUGGACUUUCGGCUUAAAGAGGGGUUAGAAAUCAAGAGCCCGCAUCUGGAAAACACAAGAACAUGCUUUCCUGCCAUCUUAAAGAGAAGAGGCAGAGCACAGUCUCAUGACUUCUCAAUGACUUGGGUCAUUAGUACAAAUACUGGAUCGCCUACUGAGUGCAAGCAAGUAAUGGGGCUCGAGUUCUACCUCUGGCAUCUCUAAAGAAGAAAAUGUAGCUUCAGGCUUAACGUAAAUCAAGUCCUUUUGAAAUGAAGUAAGCACCAGCUGAAAGCACUGAAGCACUGGACAGACGCAGACGUGGGAGAGUAAAAGGAACGGGCCAUCUACCACAGCGUUGUCAGGUCUGAAGACUGGGAGCUAGGAAGUAAGAAGAUCUGUUACUUCAAGCACAAGUACAUUAUAGAUUACCGGCAAAGGUCCAGAUGGUGGCUGCUUCAUCAGCCUGGUCAAUAGCUCGGCAGAGUGCUCCCCACCGAACCUACGUGAGCAAGAAGAAACCAACCUUAUGUCACGCUCCUGAGAAUCCGGGUUGUUUGUUACGGUGCCAGAGCCCAGCGCAUCCCAACUAGCACAGAGGUGCUGCGAGAAGAGAGACCCGAGGAGAGGGGAUUCUAUGGACUCGUGUAGUUCGCCCAAAGAGAGAGACGGUCACUUACUUUUUCUUCGGUAGUCUGCCACAGUCCAGCAGCAGUGCCCAUAUCUGAUGAGUCCCUGCCAUGGCUAUCCACAGAAUAUCAUUUCUUUGGACUUCCGAACCUUUAUAAAAAUAAAAAGGAAUUAAUAUCUCAUUAAUACAAAUACUCUACGUCUUUCAGAAAUUUAAAGACAGCAGUAAGUUUAUAAAUCAUCUGAAGAAGAAAAAAGUAUUUACAGUUUUAAGUUGCUUUUGAAAUUUUUCCAUUUUCCUUGUGAAAGAUUUCUUUAGAUUUAUGAACUUACCUGUAAAUUCACAGAAAUCCAAAGUAUUCUUAAAUAGCAGGAAGUCCCUCUGCAUCUCUGGGCACAAUGUUUUUAAAUAUCUGAUUUCUCAUUUGAUAAAAUAGGUUGACAUACAUUCUCCAAAGAAACUCUGCCGGUCAAACACCUAGCACUAACCACUGAAAUCAUAUGCUUUAAUAACAGGUUCUUUGAAUAAUUUCUCAUGAAAAAAACCCUAUCUUUUAAUAGUGUAAGAAAUGGGUAUUUCCACUGGGGGUGCCCAGCUGGCUCAGUCAGUAGAACAUGCGACUCUUGGUCUCAAGGUCAUGAGUUCGAGCCCCACAUUGGGCAUGGAGCCUACUUAAAAGUAAAAUAAAGGGGUGCCUGGGUAGCUCAGUUGGUUAAGCAUCUGCCUUCGGUUCAGGUCCUUAUCCUCAGGUCCUGGGAUCCAGUCCCACACUGGGUUCCCUGCUCAGUGGAACUUCUCCUCUGCCUGCUGCUCCCCUUGCUUGUGUGUUUAGUCUGUCUCUGACAAAUAAAUAAAAUCUUUAAAAAAUAUAUAUAUAUAUUUAAAAUAUAUUUCCACCACAGGAUUGGCUAGACUUUGAAACACAUCACAGUUCCUAUUUGAAAAUCCAUUAUUUAAUUGGCUUUGAGGCUUUUUCCAAAAACUAUAGUUGACUUGCAAAAAAGCUAAAACUAUAUUACAAUAUAGACUAUACAAUAUAUUAUAAUUGUUUACGCAAACUUGUAAGUAAUUUUCUACUUUCUUAGACUGUUACAACUUACUACAAUGUGACAAGGCUCUAUUUUUCAAAUUAAUGCUACUGUUAAAAUAUUUAAUUUAGGAGUGCCUGGCUGGCUCAGUCAGUGGAGCAUGUGACUCUUGAUCUUAGUCGUGAGUUGGGGGGUGUGGGGCCUAAAAAAUGUAUCUAUUUUAAACUGUAUCCUGAGGUGACUUUUACAUGUAGUAGAGAUUUGUAAAAAUAAUUUGGUCAGAUAUUCCUUUUGCUAAAAGAAAGAUAUUGGUAAGGCCAUUUUAUUUGUUAUUUUAACUUCAAGUAGUGUGUGUCCAGAAGGAACCUGUUUUCCUUCACUUGUAUUACCUUCAAGUGUCUUUCAAUUUAACGACAACAAAAAUAGUAUUGAUGAUUCUCGGUAAAUUGUGGUGGCUAUGUGCCAAGAACUUCAUAGAUAUUAUCACUUACAUUUUCUCAAAUGCCCCAAGGGAAAGGUAGUGUUAUUAGGCCCUUUUUACAGAUGAAGGAACUGAGACCUUAGAGAGGUGAGGGAACUUGCCAGCAACCCAGCGCCAGUAAAUGAACAGGAAUCUGACACCAGGCAGACCAACAGAAAAAUGUGAAUCACAUGCUGCCUCUUUUUCUGUGUUCUUAAUUGCUAUCCUAUGAAAUCUUAAGGAAAGUAUUUCAAUUUAAUUUUUCAUAGUCAAAUAUUUUUAUGAACAAAAAUUAUAUUAAAAGUGACAAGGGCAUCCAUUUAUUCUGGGGACUCAGUCUCUGCUUAAUCACCUUCAGAGUAGAUCAAAAGCUUUUCCUAAGUAUUUUAUUUUGCUCCUGCCAUGUGAGGACAAGGUACAAAGGUGACCAUCCAUAAGCCAGAAGAGAGCUCUCACCAGAAACCAAUCAUGCUGGCAUCCUGACCUUGGACUUCUAGCCUUCAAAACUGUGAGAAAAUAAAUUUCUGUUGUUUAAGCCACCCCAACUGUGAUAUUCUGUUAUGGCAGCCUGAGGUGACUAAGACAUUCCCCCGAGAACAGAAAUGAGACAAGGAUAUCUGCUAAUCAACAUUUUUAUUUAGCAUCAUUUGAGGCCCCAAUUUGUGCAACAAGAAGCAAAAAGUAUAAAGAUUAGAAAUAAAGCUGCAAUUAUCAGAAGAUGACUUGCUUUGAAAGCCUCUACCUUGCCAAAGGAGAGCUGUGUUGGUAUAUAGCUGAGGGAAAGACCAAACCAGUUCUCCAAACAGACCAGCCUAGUUCAACCAGGGUCUAUUAUAUGAAGGCCAAACUUCAUAGUAGUAAAGUGUAAACAGUUUGCUUGGUUUUGCUCUCUGUGUACUUACUUCCUUUAGAAGCCUGACGAAUGAGAAAAAGUAGAGAAGCAAAGACUAUGUCAGAUCAUGAUUUCAGUGUCUUGGGAUUUCCCAUGACAACUGACGGUGACGAUGAGGAGCACAGUGGGCAGGAGGGAGGAUGGUGACCAUCUAGAACAUCUCCUAUAUUUAAGGCGCUGAGCUAAGGAAUAAGGACCUUAUGGGGAUUACUUCCUUUAAUGACUUUAGUAGGUCUUAUUCUUAUCAUCUCCAUUUUACAAAGCAGCUGAAACUGAAAAGGGCUAAAUAAAUUAUUGAAAUUCGCAUAGCUAAACCUGUUAUAAUAAUCUAUUAGUGAGUCUGACUCCAGAUUAUUCGUGUUCUGAUCAGAAUGCAGGAAAUACAGAAGUGAGCCUGGGCUCUACGGGCCCAGUCCUUGCUUGGCCCAUUGACUUCUCCCUCCCUCCUGCCUCUGCCUCAUGGACUUAGCUCAGGCUUGAAGUACACAAAAGCAUUUUCUGUGUGAUCGGAAGCAGAGAUCUGACUAAAUGUAAUCAUGCCUGUCUAUUCUAGGAUGUGUGCCUAGGUUCACUCCUGUCCUUCCCUCCCAAUAGCCUGUGGCAUAAGCCUAUGGCCGAAUCAUCUCUUACCAGGAUUUUUUCCCAAUCCCUUGCCUUUCCAUUUUUGGUUUGUUUCAGCUUAUCGGCAGCUCUCUGUGACUCACAAGAUGAAACUCUAUAUUAUAGCAAAUACUUCUGCAGUACUUUCUAUGGGGCCAGGCUCUAUUCUAAGUGCUUCGUGUAUAUCAGCCCUCAUAAUUCUUAUAAUAAGCUUCUGAGCUAGAUACUAUUAAUAUCUUUAAUUUUGAUGAGGAAAUUGGGGGCUUAAAGAGAAUAGGUAACUUGUCCAAAAUCACAUAACUACUAAGAUGUAAAACUAAUUAAAACCCAAGUGGUCUGGCUCCAGUCCAUGCAAUACUGCCUCUGAGGAAGCUUUUACCCAGCCCCAUCAUUCCCCCGAAGGCUGAAGGAUUUGUUCUUGCAGAUAAAAUGAUGAGUUGAAAGAAAGAAAGAAAGGAAGGAAGGAAGGAAGAAAGAGGUCUGGCAUUUAUAAGGCUUAUCAAACCAACCAGAAUCAUAUUAAUAAUGUAUAUUGUUCACCCUGGAGUCUGAAAUGUGAAGCACACAGUUGUACUACCACAUAUGGGUAUUAGUUUUGUUCCUUCUAACAAGAAUGUGACAAUCAUAAACAUCUCAAUUUUAAA